Molecule: small nuclear RNA, 101 nt
Filed under: Myotis brandtii (Brandt's bat)
Lineage: Eukaryota; Metazoa; Chordata; Mammalia; Chiroptera; Vespertilionidae
Source: RNAcentral
GUGCUCGCUUCCUCAGCACAUAUACUAAAAUUGGAACGAUACAGAGAAGAUUAACCCUGCGCAAAGAUGACAGGCAAAUUCGUGAAGCGUUCCAUAUUAAA